GACGACCGCUGGCGGCGUGCUUAACACAUGCAAGUCGAACGGAAAGGCCCUGCUUUUGUGGGGUGCUCGAGUGGCGAACGGGUGAGUAACACGUGAGUAACCUGCCCUUGACUUUGGGAUAACUUCAGGAAACUGGGGCUAAUACCGGAUAGGAGCUCCUGCUGCAUGGUGGGGGUUGGAAAGUUUCGGCGGUUGGGGAUGGACUCGCGGCUUAUCAGCUUGUUGGUGGGGUAGUGGCUUACCAAGGCUUUGACGGGUAGCCGGCCUGAGAGGGUGACCGGCCACAUUGGGAAUGAGAUACGGCCCAGACUCCUACGGGAGGCAGCAGUGGGGAAUAUAGCACAAUGGGCGGAAGCCUGAUGCAGCAACGCCGCGUGCGGGAUGACGGCCUUCGGGUUGGAAACCGCUUUCGCCUGUGACGAAGCGUGAGUGACGGGAAUUGGUAAAGAAGCACCGGCUAACUACGU
This 467-nucleotide ribosomal RNA is filed under the name uncultured bacterium. RNAcentral describes it as "partial 16S ribosomal RNA". It matches the Rfam family "Bacterial small subunit ribosomal RNA", at positions 28 to 506 of the family's 1533-position model. The record is from RNAcentral.